RNAcentral lists this ribosomal RNA (201 nucleotides) under uncultured bacterium. RNAcentral's name for it is "partial 16S ribosomal RNA". It matches the Rfam family "Bacterial small subunit ribosomal RNA", at positions 328 to 539 of the family's 1533-position model. The record is from RNAcentral.
ACGCUCGACACCUACGGAGGCAGCAGUGGGGAAUAUUGCACAAUGGGGGAAACCCUGAUGCAGCGACGCCGCGUGAGCGAAGAAGUAUUUCGGUAUGUAAAGCUCUAUCAGCAGGGAAGAAUAAUGACGGUACCUGACUAAAGAACGCUCCGGCUAAAUACGUGCCAGCAGCCGCGGUAAUCUGAGGCGGGCUGGCAAGGC